CAUGAAUUUAAGCUUCAUGUAUAAAGAAAAGCCUUUUAUUAGAA
This 44-nucleotide transfer RNA is filed under the name Grylloblatta gurneyi. Its description in RNAcentral is "partial tRNA-Leu". Lineage: Eukaryota; Metazoa; Arthropoda; Insecta; Grylloblattodea; Grylloblattidae. The record is from RNAcentral.